Molecule: long non-coding RNA, 1017 nt
Filed under: Vitis vinifera (wine grape)
Lineage: Eukaryota; Viridiplantae; Streptophyta; Magnoliopsida; Vitales; Vitaceae
Description: long non-coding RNA (VVIN_LNC006988)
Source: RNAcentral
GGUGUUAUAUGUCGAAUGUAAGUGUGUAGUAGGAAAAUUAAUUUUCAAUAUAUUGAUUUCUUUGUUUUCUUCUAAUGUUGAUGUUCUGUUGUCUAUUUUAAUUCCAUUGAAUGACAUUGUUCAUUAAGAGGUAAUUUUCUUCUUCAUGUUUUUUACAUUUGAUCUCUACUCCUUUCACUACCAUCUUUAAACGUAAGGGUGGAAUUUUUCAGGUUUCCCGGGGACAAGAGAAGAUUCAUCGGAGAUACCUCUGUAGUAUGCUUAUUUCGUAUUCCCUAUUAUCCUCCAUUUCGCACUGUUAUUCAUUCUUCUGUUUUAUCUUUGGCUGUUGUUUGUUGACUGAAAAUAUGUAUUAGAGAAUUAAUUUUGAAUCCUUUGAUUUAUUUGUUGGUUUCUGAGCUUCAUGUUGCGUUUUGUAAUACUCGUUUCUUUCGUUUCGUUUCUUUCGUUUCGUUUCAGAAUAAUAUUAUUUGCUUUUAAUGAAAUUGUGUCAUAAGUUGUAAUUUUUUUAUUCUCGUUCUUACGUUUGAUCUCUGCAUUUUUCUAUACCUUCUAUAGGCGUAAGAGUAGAAUUUCAAGGUUUAUCGGGUACAAGAGAAGUUUGAUUGGAAAUAAGUCUUGGGUAAGUUUUCUCCGUAUUCGCUAUUCUCUAGACUUUCUCGCUGUACUUUAAUCUUCUCUUUUAUGUUUGGGUGUUAUAUGUCGAAUGUAUGUGUGUAGUAGGAAAAUUAAUUUUCAAUAUAUUGAUUUCUUUGUUUUCUUCUAAUGUUGAUGUUCUGUUGUCUAUUUUAAUUCCAUUGAACGACAUUGUUCAUUAAGAGGUAAUUUUCUUCUUCUUGUUUUUUACAUUUGAUCUCUACUCCUUUCACAACCAUCUUUAAACGUAAGGGUGGAAUUUUUCAGGCUUCCCGGGGAAAAGAGAAGAUUCGUCGGAGAUACCUCUGUAGUAUGCUUAUUUCGUAUUCCCUAUUAUCCUCCAUUUCGCAAUGUUAUUCAUUCUUCUGUUUUAUCUUUGGC